This 253-nucleotide ribosomal RNA is filed under the name uncultured bacterium. RNAcentral describes it as "partial 16S ribosomal RNA". It matches the Rfam family "Bacterial small subunit ribosomal RNA", at positions 524 to 776 of the family's 1533-position model. The record is from RNAcentral.
UACGUAGGUGGCAAGCGUUGUCCGGAUUUAUUGGGUUUAAAGGGCGCGUAGGCGGUCUUUUAAGUUCCGUGUGAAAUCCCUCGGCUCAACUGGGGAACGGCACGGGAAACUGGAAGGCUUGAGUUCGGGAGAGGGAAGCGGAAUUCCGGGUGUAGCGGUGAAAUGCGUAGAUAUCCGGAGGAACACCGGUGGCGAAGGCGGCUUCCUGGGCCGACACUGACGCUGAGGCGCGAAAGCUAGGGGAGCAAACGGG